AUCCUAACUAUCCUUCUGAUUCCA
RNAcentral lists this non-coding RNA (24 nucleotides) under Arabidopsis thaliana (thale cress). Lineage: Eukaryota; Viridiplantae; Streptophyta; Magnoliopsida; Brassicales; Brassicaceae. The record is from RNAcentral.